UGGAAUUCAGAUGAUUUUCACAUAUCCGGUUUAACAUUUGAAAAGAAUUUAAGCUAUAAACUGAAUCUACAAAACAACAACUGAAGUCUGAAUCUUAGCUAGCAGUAAAGCAAUACAGAGGCUCUCGUAUCGAUGUCAGUCAUCUCUUCUAUAGCAGUUCCCCUGCAAACAAUACAAAAUCUUAGUUUUAUUUCAGUAAAAAAUUAAAAUUCAAGCUUUAUCAUACAUUAAUUUAAGUAAAAAUUUCCAAGCUCGAGUCCCUUAAGACUGAACUAAGGAAUAGAUCUGAACAUUGCAUUUACAAUUAAUUUAGCCAAAAUAAGUUUAUUAUUUAUGGAAAAAAAUGCAAGAUCAACAAUAUAAAUGAAGUUUGGUUAAAUUGAUUUCAUGGUUUUGACAAAUGACACUUUUAAUGGCAAAUAUGGUGCUCUUGUGUCUAGUAAGUUAGGUAUUGGCUUUGUUGGGCAUGAAAUAUAUGUGAUUCUACUAUUAAUGUUAUUCAAACUUGGCCAGGCCCAAAAAUCAAUGCAGUAUGUAUGUGAUUUAAUGUCUCUAUCUAUAAAGUUUACGUUAUUAAAAACAUUGCAAUGGUCAGUUAUCGUUUUGCCGGACGGAGCAUAUGCUACACAUUUGAGUUUAUAAAUGCUAGUGGUUUAUGAUUUUUACCUUUUAUGACACCAUUUGGAGGGGAAUAAAUCCGUCUUAUACUUUGACAAUCUUUAAUAUAUAUUAAAUCUUCUAGUAAUUCUAAAUCAAGCUAAAGACAUGGUAAUAUGCAAUGAUUUUUAUACUUUAGGGUAGAAUUCGAAUAUGAGUUGUAGUUAUUGCUUGCAGCUACGUCUUGAAUUCAAUGGUGUAUUUAUUAUAUAUGCUGGCUAGGGGCCUUCUUGAUAACUAAUCCUAAUUCGUGUGGUUGGAGGAACUUCUAUCCUAUAUAGA
RNAcentral lists this long non-coding RNA (939 nucleotides) under Amborella trichopoda. RNAcentral describes it as "long non-coding RNA (ATRI_LNC004064)". Lineage: Eukaryota; Viridiplantae; Streptophyta; Magnoliopsida; Amborellales; Amborellaceae. The record is from RNAcentral.